Molecule: transfer RNA, 73 nt
Filed under: Stegodyphus mimosarum
Lineage: Eukaryota; Metazoa; Arthropoda; Arachnida; Araneae; Eresidae
Rfam family: tRNA
About the family: Transfer RNA (tRNA) molecules are approximately 80 nucleotides in length. Their secondary structure includes four short double-helical elements and three loops (D, anti-codon, and T loops).
Source: Rfam by way of RNAcentral
GCCUUCGUGGUGUAGUGAUCAGCACACUGGAUGCGUAUUCUAGAGGUCCAUGGUUCGAGUCCCGGCAAAGGCA